Molecule: ribosomal RNA, 505 nt
Filed under: uncultured bacterium
Lineage: Bacteria
Description: partial 16S ribosomal RNA
Rfam family: Bacterial small subunit ribosomal RNA
Source: RNAcentral
GACGAACGCUGGCGGCGUGCCUAAUACAUGCAAGUAGAACGCACAGUUUAUACCGUAGCUUGCUACACCAUAGACUGUGAGUUGCGAACGGGUGAGUAACGCGUAGGUAACCUGCCUGGUAGCGGGGGAUAACUAUUGGAAACGAUAGCUAAUACCGCAUAAUAUUGAUUAUUGCAUGAUAAUUGAUUGAAAGAUGCUAUUGCAUCACUACCAGAUGGACCUGCGUUGUAUUAGCUAGUAGGUGAGGUAACGGCUCACCUAGGCGACGAUACAUAGCCGACCUGAGAGGGUGGGCGGCCACACUGGGACGGAGACACGGCCCAGACUCCUACGGGAGGCAGCAGUAGGGAAUCUUCGGCAAUGGACGAAAGACUGACCGAGAAACGCCGCGGGAGGGAAGAAGGUUGUCGGAUCGUAAAGCUCGGUUGUAAGAGAAGAACGGGUGUGAGAGUGGAAAGUUCACACUGUGACGGUAGCUUACCAGAAAGGGACGGCUAACUACGUG